This 395-nucleotide ribosomal RNA is filed under the name uncultured bacterium. RNAcentral describes it as "bacterial SSU rRNA". It matches the Rfam family "Bacterial small subunit ribosomal RNA", at positions 35 to 456 of the family's 1533-position model. The record is from RNAcentral.
GCUGGCGGCAGGCCUUACACAUGCAAGUCGAGCGGCCGUAGCAAUACGGCAGCGGCAGACGGGAGAGUAACACGUGGGAACGUGCCCUUCAGUUCGGAACAACCCAGGGAAACUUGGGCUUAAUACCGGAUACGCCCUUACGGGGAAAGAUUUAUCGCUGAAGGAUCGGCCCGCGUCUGAUUAGCUAGUUGGUGGGGUAACGGCCCACCAAGGCGCGAUCUGUAGCUGGUCUGAGAGGUUGAUCAGCCUCACUGGGACUGAGACACGGCCCAGACUCCUACGGGAGGCAGCAGUGGGGAAUAUUGGACAAUGGGCGCAAGCCUGAUCCAGCCAUGCCGCGUGGAUGAUGAAGGCCCUAGGGUUGUAAAGUCCUUUCGGCGGGGAAGAUAAUGACG